Molecule: ribosomal RNA, 553 nt
Filed under: Arthrobacter sp. BL13
Lineage: Bacteria; Bacillati; Actinomycetota; Actinomycetes; Micrococcales; Micrococcaceae
Description: bacterial SSU rRNA
Rfam family: Bacterial small subunit ribosomal RNA
Source: RNAcentral
GCUUGCUGGGGGGAUUAGUGGCGAACGGGUGAGUAACACGUGAGUAACCUGCCCUUGACUCUGGGAUAAGCCUGGGAAACUGGGUCUAAUACCGGAUAUGACUCCUCAUCGCAUGGUGGGGGGUGGAAAGCUUUUGUGGUUUUGGAUGGACUCGCGGCCUAUCAGCUUGUUGGUGGGGUAAUGGCCUACCAAGGCGACGACGGGUAGCCGGCCUGAGAGGGUGACCGGCCACACUGGGACUGAGACACGGCCCAGACUCCUACGGGAGGCAGCAGUGGGGAAUAUUGCACAAUGGGCGAAAGCCUGAUGCAGCGACGCCGCGUGAGGGAUGACGGCCUUCGGGUUGUAAACCUCUUUCAGUAGGGAAGAAGCCGCGAGGUGACGGUACCUGCAGAAGAAGCGCCGGCUAACUACGUGCCAGCAGCCGCGGUAAUACGUAGGGCGCAAGCGUUAUCCGGAAUUAUUGGGCGUAAAGAGCUCGUAGGCGGUUUGUCGCGUCUGCUGUGAAAGACCGGGGCUCAACUCCGGUUCUGCAGUGGGUACGGGCAGACUA